This 2889-nucleotide ribosomal RNA is filed under the name Shigella dysenteriae. Its description in RNAcentral is "bacterial LSU rRNA". It matches the Rfam family "Bacterial large subunit ribosomal RNA". Lineage: Bacteria; Pseudomonadati; Pseudomonadota; Gammaproteobacteria; Enterobacterales; Enterobacteriaceae. The record is from RNAcentral.
ACUAAGCGUACACGGUGGAUGCCCUGGCAGUCAGAGGCGAUGAAGGACGUGCUAAUCUGCGAUAAGCGUCGGUAAGGUGAUAUGAACCGUUAUAACCGGCGAUUUCCGAAUGGGGAAACCCAGUGUGAUUCGUCACACUAUCAUUAACUGAAUCCAUAGGUUAAUGAGGCGAACCGGGGGAACUGAAACAUCUAAGUACCCCGAGGAAAAGAAAUCAACCGAGAUUCCCCAGUAGCGGCGAGCGAACGGGGAGCAGCCCAGAGCCUGAAUCAGUGUGUGUGUUAGUGGAAGCGUCUGGAAAGGCGUGCGAUACAGGGUGACAGCCCCGUACACAAAAAUGCACAUAUUGUGAGCUCGAUGAGUAGGGCGGGACACGUGGUAUCCUGUCUGAAUAUGGGGGGACCAUCCUCCAAGGCUAAAUACUCCUGACUGACCGAUAGUGAACCAGUACCGUGAGGGAAAGGCGAAAAGAACCCCGGCGAGGGGAGUGAAAAAGAACCUGAAACCGUGUACGUACAAGCAGUGGGAGCACGCUUAGGCGUGUGACUGCGUACCUUUUGUAUAAUGGGUCAGCGACUUAUAUUCUGUAGCAAGGUUAACCGAAUAGGGGAGCCGAAGGGAAACCGAGUCUUAACUGGGCGUUAAGUUGCAGGGUAUAGACCCGAAACCCGGUGAUCUAGCCAUGGGCAGGUUGAAGGUUGGGUAACACUAACUGGAGGACCGAACCGACUAAUGUUGAAAAAUUAGCGGAUGACUUGUGGCUGGGGGUGAAAGGCCAAUCAAACCGGGAGAUAGCUGGUUCUCCCCGAAAGCUAUUUAGGUAGCGCCUCGUGAAUUCAUCUCCGGGGGUAGAGCACUGUUUCGGCAAGGGGGUCAUCCCGACUUACCAACCCGAUGCAAACUGCGAAUACCGGAGAAUGUUAUCACGGGAGACACACGGCGGGUGCUAACGUCCGUCGUGAAGAGGGAAACAACCCAGACCGCCAGCUAAGGUCCCAAAGUCAUGGUUAAGUGGGAAACGAUGUGGGAAGGCCCAGACAGCCAGGAUGUUGGCUUAGAAGCAGCCAUCAUUUAAAGAAAGCGUAAUAGCUCACUGGUCGAGUCGGCCUGCGCGGAAGAUGUAACGGGGCUAAACCAUGCACCGAAGCUGCGGCAGCGACACUAUGUGUUGUUGGGUAGGGGAGCGUUCUGUAAGCCUGUGAAGGUGUACUGUGAGGUAUGCUGGAGGUAUCAGAAGUGCGAAUGCUGACAUAAGUAACGAUAAAGCGGGUGAAAAGCCCGCUCGCCGGAAGACCAAGGGUUCCUGUCCAACGUUAAUCGGGGCAGGGUGAGUCGACUCCUAAGGCGAGGCCGAAAGGCGUAGUCGAUGGGAAACAGGUUAAUAUUCCUGUACUUGGUGUUACUGCGAAGGGGGGACGGAGAAGGCUAUGUUGGCCGGGCGACGGUUGUCCCGGUUUAAGCGUGUAGGCUGGUUUUCCAGGCAAAUCCGGAAAACUAAGGCUGAGGCGUGAUGACGAGGCACUACGGUGCUGAAGCAACAAAUGCCCUGCUUCCAGGAAAAGCCUCUAAGCAUCAGGUAACAUCAAAUCGUACCCCAAACCGACACAGGUGGUCAGGUAGAGAAUACCAAGGCGCUUGAGAGAACUCGGGUGAAGGAACUAGGCAAAAUGGUGCCGUAACUUCGGGAGAAGGCACGCUGAUAUGUAGGUGAAGUCCCUCGCGGAUGGAGCUGAAAUCAGUCGAAGAUACCAGCUGGCUGCAACUGUUUAUUAAAAACACAGCACUGUGCAAACACGAAAGUGGACGUAUACGGUGUGACGCCUGCCCGGUGCCGGAAGGUUAAUUGAUGGGGUCAGCGCAAGCGAAGCUCUUGAUCGAAGCCCGGUAAACGGCGGCCGUAACUAUAACGGUCCUAAGGUAGCGAAAUUCCUUGUCGGGUAAGUUCCGACCUGCACGAAUGGCGUAAUGAUGGCCAGGCUGUCUCCACCCGAGACUCAGUGAAAUUGAACUCGCUGUGAAGAUGCAGUGUACCCGCGGCAAGACGGAAAGACCCCGUGAACCUUUACUAUAGCUUGACACUGAACAUUGAGCCUUGAUGUGUAGGAUAGGUGGGAGGCUUUGAAGUGUGGACGCCAGUCUGCAUGGAGCCGACCUUGAAAUACCACCCUUUAAUGUUUGAUGUUCUAACGUUGACCCGUAAUCCGGGUUGCGGACAGUGUCUGGUGGGUAGUUUGACUGGGGCGGUCUCCUCCUAAAGAGUAACGGAGGAGCACGAAGGUUGGCUAAUCCUGGUCGGACAUCAGGAGGUUAGUGCAAUGGCAUAAGCCAGCUUGACUGCGAGCGUGACGGCGCGAGCAGGUGCGAAAGCAGGUCAUAGUGAUCCGGUGGUUCUGAAUGGAAGGGCCAUCGCUCAACGGAUAAAAGGUACUCCGGGGAUAACAGGCUGAUACCGCCCAAGAGUUCAUAUCGACGGCGGUGUUUGGCACCUCGAUGUCGGCUCAUCACAUCCUGGGGCUGAAGUAGGUCCCAAGGGUAUGGCUGUUCGCCAUUUAAAGUGGUACGCGAGCUGGGUUUAGAACGUCGUGAGACAGUUCGGUCCCUAUCUGCCGUGGGCGCUGGAGAACUGAGGGGGCUGCUCCUAGUACGAGAGGACCGGAGUGGACGCAUCACUGGUGUUCGGGUUGUCAUGCCAAUGGCACUGCCCGGUAGCUAAAUGCGGAAGAGAUAAGUGCUGAAAGCAUCUAAGCACGAAACUUGCCCCGAGAUGAGUUCUCCCUGACUCCUUGAGAGUCCUGAAGGAACGUUGAAGACGACGACGUUGAUAGGCCGGGUGUGUAAGCGCAGCGAUGCGUUGAGCUAACCGGUACUAAUGAACCGUGAGGCUUAACC